GGCCGCUCAGGACUCCAAAGCCCUUGCUUCCUAGAGUCGUUCAGAGGCGAAUUCUUGGAGCUUUGGCCGUGGCUUUUCAAAAGAAGAGCCACCAGGGUUGUGCGCGGAAACGCCUCAAUCUCCCGUAUCGGAAAGGAGAACCUUGGCUUCUUUA
RNAcentral lists this non-coding RNA (154 nucleotides) under Bdellovibrionales bacterium. RNAcentral describes it as "MoCo sequence". It matches the Rfam family "Molybdenum/Tungsten riboswitch aptamer (Moco RNA motif)". Lineage: Bacteria; Pseudomonadati; Bdellovibrionota; Bdellovibrionia; Bdellovibrionales. The record is from RNAcentral.